UUGAUAGAAACUACAAUUUCCAUCCGCCCGGGAACUACGAGCAUAAGCCUAAAACCCAAAGGACUUGGCGGUGCUUUAGUUGAUAGAAACUACAAUUUCCAUCCGCCCGGGAACUACGAGCAUAAGCCUAAAACCCAAAGGACUUGGCGGUGCUUUAGCCGUCGUCAGCUUACCCUGUGAAGGUCUAAUAGUAAGCAAAACUGGUAAACCCCAAAACGCCAGGUCGAGGUGUAGCAAACGAAAAGGAAAGAAAUGGGCUACAUUUCCUCCCCCAGGAAACACGAAUUGUGCUAUGAAACAACACAUGAAGGUGGAUUUAGCAGUAAGCAGAAAACAGAGAGUUCCGCUGAAACCGGCCCUGAAGCGCGCACACACCGCCCGUCACUCUCCCCAAGUUCUUAAGCAUUUAUAACUAAUACCCCACCAGAACAAAGGGGAGGCAAGUCGUAACAUGGUAAGUGUACCGGAAGGUGCGCUUGGAUAAACC
This 487-nucleotide ribosomal RNA is filed under the name Gambusia punctata (Cuban gambusia). Its description in RNAcentral is "partial 12S ribosomal RNA". It matches the Rfam family "Bacterial small subunit ribosomal RNA", at positions 846 to 1528 of the family's 1533-position model. The record is from RNAcentral. Lineage: Eukaryota; Metazoa; Chordata; Actinopteri; Cyprinodontiformes; Poeciliidae.